RNAcentral lists this ribosomal RNA (467 nucleotides) under uncultured bacterium. Its description in RNAcentral is "bacterial SSU rRNA". It matches the Rfam family "Bacterial small subunit ribosomal RNA", at positions 329 to 792 of the family's 1533-position model. The record is from RNAcentral.
GCCCAGACUCCUACGGGAGGCAGCAGUGAGGAAUAUUGGUCAAUGGGCGGGAGCCUGAACCAGCCAAGCCGCGUGAGGGAAGAAGGUACAGCGUAUCGUAAACCUCUUUUGUCAGGGAACAAAGGCGGGGACUAGUCCCCGGAUGAGGGUACCUGAAGAAAAAGCAUCGGCUAACUCCGUGCCAGCAGCCGCGGUAAUACGGGGGAUGCAAGCGUUAUCCGGAUUUAUUGGGUUUAAAGGGUGCGUAGGCUGUGAGGUAAGUCAGCGGUGAAAUGCCCCCGCUCAACGGGGUGAAGUGCCAUUGAUACUGCCUUGCUGGAAUGCGGAUGCCGUGGGAGGAAUGUGUGGUGUAGCGGUGAAAUGCAUAGAUAUCACACAGAACACCGAUUGCGAAGGCAUCUCACGAAUCCGCGAUUGACGCUGAUGCACGAAAGCGUGGGUAUCAAACAGGAUUAGAUACCCCAGUA